AACGAACGCUGGCGGCAUGCCUAACACAUGCAAGUCGAACGAGACCUUCGGGUCUAGUGGCGCACGGGUGCGUAACGCGUGGGAACCUGCCCUUAGGUUCGGAAUAACUCCCCGAAAGGGGUGCUAAUACCGGAUAAUGUCUUCGGACCAAAGAUUUAUCGCCUUUGGAUGGGCCCGCGUUGGAUUAGCUAGUUGGUAGGGUAAAAGCCUACCAAGGCGACGAUCCAUAGCUGGUCUGAGAGGAUGAUCAGCCACACUGGGACUGAGACACGGCCCAGACUCCUACGGGAGGCAGCAGUGGGGAAUAUUGGACAAUGGGCGAAAGCCUGAUCCAUCAAUGCCGCGUGAGUGAUGAAGGCCUUAGGGUUGUAAAGCUCUUUUACCCGGGAUGAUAAUGACAGGACCGGGAGAAUAAGCGCCGGCUAACUCCGUG
This 433-nucleotide ribosomal RNA is filed under the name uncultured bacterium. RNAcentral's name for it is "partial 16S ribosomal RNA". It matches the Rfam family "Bacterial small subunit ribosomal RNA", at positions 29 to 507 of the family's 1533-position model. The record is from RNAcentral.